RNAcentral lists this ribosomal RNA (504 nucleotides) under Clostridium sp. ARIAKE1273. Its description in RNAcentral is "bacterial SSU rRNA". It matches the Rfam family "Bacterial small subunit ribosomal RNA", at positions 17 to 513 of the family's 1533-position model. The record is from RNAcentral. Lineage: Bacteria; Bacillati; Bacillota; Clostridia; Eubacteriales; Clostridiaceae.
UCCUGGCUCAGGAUGAACGCUGGCGGCGUGCUUAACACAUGCAAGUCGAACGGAAAUGACACGCUGAUGCGAUUUCGGUCAAAUCAUGUAUCAUUUUAGUGGCGGACGGGUGAGUAACGCGUGGGUAACCUGCCUUACACUGGGGGAUAACACUUAGAAAUAGGUGCUAAUACCGCAUAAGCGCACGGGGCCGCAUGGUCCUGUGUGAAAAACUGAGGUGGUGUAAGAUGGACCCGCGUCUGAUUAGCUAGUUGGCGGGGUAACGGCCCACCAAGGCAGCGAUCAGUAGCCGGCCUGAGAGGGUGGACGGCCACAUUGGGACUGAGACACGGGCCCAAACUCCUACGGGAGGCAGCAGUGGGGGAUAUUGGACAAUGGGGGAAACCCUGAUCCAGCGACGCCGCGUGAGUGAAGAAGUAUUUCGGGUAUGUAAAGCUCUGUCAGCAGGGAAGAAAGAAAUGACGGUACCUGACCAAGAAGCCCCGGGCUAACUACGUGCCAGCA